CCAGCCGGCCGGAUGACCGCUGCCGCAAGGGAGAGGAAAGUCCGGGCUCCACGGAGACACGGCGCCGGAUAAUGUCCGGCGGGGGCGACCCCAGGGAAAGCGCCACAGAAAUCGAACCGCCGCGCAGGACGCGGUAAGGGUGAAAAGGUGCGGUAAGAGCGCACCGCUCGGACGGCAACGUCCGAGGCAUGGCAAGCCCCGCCGGGAGCAAGACCGAAUAGGGGCGACAGAGGGCGCAAGCCUUCAGCCCGUCUCCGGGCCCGUCGCCCGGGUUGGUCGCCAGAGGCGGCCGGCAACGGCCGUCCCAGAUGAAUGGUCGUCACGCGAGGCCUGAGGGAAACCUUGCCUCGCCAUACAAAACCCGGCUUACAGGCCGGCUGGCUCU
This 385-nucleotide RNase P RNA is filed under the name Methylocystis heyeri. Its description in RNAcentral is "Bacterial RNase P class A". It matches the Rfam family "Bacterial RNase P class A". From Rfam's summary of the family: Ribonuclease P (RNase P) is a ubiquitous endoribonuclease, found in archaea, bacteria and eukarya as well as chloroplasts and mitochondria. The record is from Rfam by way of RNAcentral. Lineage: Bacteria; Pseudomonadati; Pseudomonadota; Alphaproteobacteria; Hyphomicrobiales; Methylocystaceae.